UGAAUACGAGAUGCUACGGCGUCGAAGCAGUCUAUGUCAUACUUCCAAGAAAAGCUUGCACUGUCAUAAACAAAUAAUGCCUGUACCAUAACCGACACAGGUGGGUAGGUAGAGUAUACUAAGGGGCGCGAGAUAACUCUCUCUAAGGAACUCGGCAAAAUGACUCCGUAACUUCGGGAGAAGGAGUGCCUUAUUUAUAAGGUUGCAAUAACAAGAUCCAAGCAACUGUUUACCAAAAACACAGGUCUCCGCUAAGUCGUAAGACGAUGUAUGGGGGCUGACGCCUGCCCAGUGCCAGAAGGUUAAAGAAGUUGGUUAGCAUCCGCGAAGCUGAUAACUGAAGCCCUGGUGAACGGCGGCCGUAACUAUAACGGUCCUAAGGUAGCGAAAUUCCUUGUCGGGUAAGUUCCGACCCGCACGAAAGGCGUAAUGAUUUGGAUACUGUCUCGGAGAGGGGCUCGGUGAAAUAGACUUGUCUGUGAAGAUGCGGACUACCUGCACCAGGACAGAAAGACCCUAUGAAGCUUUACUGUAACCUGAAAUUGAAAUUGGACUUUACUUGCGCAGUAUAGGUGGGAGGCGUUGAGAAUAUUCUUGCGGGAUUAUUGGAGCCAUCAGUGAGAUACCACUCUUGUAAUGUUAGAUUUCUAACUUUGUAUCAUUAUCUGGUCAAAGAACAGUUUCAGGCGGGCAGUUUGACUGGGGCGUUCGCCUCCUAAACGGUAACGGAGGCGCACAAAGGUUUCCUCUGAACGGGUAGAAAUCGUAUCUAGAGUGUAAAGGCAUAAGGAAGCUUGACUGUGAGACCUACAAGUCGAGCAGGGACGAAAGUCGGUCUUAGUGAUCUGACGGUGCUGAGUGGAAAGGCCGUCACUCAACGGAUAAAAGUUACUCUAGGAUAACAGGCUGAUCUCCCCCAAGAGUUCACAUCGACGGGGAGGUUUGGCACCUCGAUGUCGGCUCAUCGCAUCCUGGGGCGGUAGUACGUCCCAAGGGUUGGGCUGUUCGCCCAUGAAAGCGGUACGCGAGCUGGGUUCAGAACGUCGUGAGACAGUUCGGUCCAUAUCCGGUGUAGGCGUUAGAAUAUUGAGAGGAGCCUUCUUUAGUACGAGAGGACCGAGAAGGACAUACCUCUGGUGUACCAGUUAUCGUGCCAACGGUAAACGCUGGGUAGCUAUGUGUGGAGUGGAUAACCGCUGAAAGCAUCUAAGUGGGAAGCCCACCUCAAGAUAAGUA
This 1236-nucleotide ribosomal RNA is filed under the name metagenome. RNAcentral describes it as "bacterial LSU rRNA". It matches the Rfam family "Bacterial large subunit ribosomal RNA", at positions 1564 to 2810 of the family's 2925-position model. The record is from RNAcentral.